This 410-nucleotide long non-coding RNA is filed under the name Vigna radiata. Its description in RNAcentral is "long non-coding RNA (VRAD_LNC011963)". Lineage: Eukaryota; Viridiplantae; Streptophyta; Magnoliopsida; Fabales; Fabaceae. The record is from RNAcentral.
CAGAGAUCACAGAGAAAAUGUUUGAGUGAGAGAGACGAAGGAGAAAGGGUUCAGAGGAAUGAAGGAGGUGAGUAAGGGUUUGUUUUUUUUUUUUUUUAGUUUUGAGAAUGAAAAUUAUUAAAAUAAGGUAAGUGUUUUUUUUUUCAAUUGAGGUUAGAAUAGGAAUGACAGAGAAAAGGUUGGAGUGAAAGAGAUGAAAGAGAAAGAGUUGAGAGAAACGAAAGAGGUGAGUAAGGGUAUGGGGGUUUCUUUUUUUAUUUUUUUUUUUAAUUUUGAGAAUGAAAAUUAUUAAAAUAUCCUUAACCUUAAAACUUAGAAUUCAUGAUAUAAGGGUAUUUUUGUCUAUUGAAACUUGGUACACAUUGCCAAAAUGUACCAACUGAAAAACAGGUGUAUGCAAGUUAGCAAAC